CCUACGGGUGGCAGCAGUGGGGAAUAUUGGGCAAUGGGCGCAAGCCUGACCCAGCAACGCCGCGUGAAGGAAGAAGGCUUUCGGGUUGUAAACUUCUUUUGACAGGGAAGAGUAGAAGACGGUACCUGACGAAUAAGCCACGGCUAACUACGUGCCAGCAGCCGCGGUAAUACGUAGGUGGCAAGCGUUGUCCGGAUUUACUGGGUGUAAAGGGCGUGUAGCCGGGUUGACAAGUCAGAUGUGAAAUCCUGCGGGUUAACCGGAGAACUGCAUGUGAAACUGUGGAGCUUGAGGACUGGAGAGGCAGAUGGGAUUCCUAGUGUAGGGGUGAAAUGCGUAGAUAUUAGGAGGAACACCGGUGGCGAAGGCGGCCUGCUGGACUGUGACUGACGUUGAGGCCCGAAGGCGUGGGGAGCAAACAGGAUUAGAUACCCGUGUAGUC
RNAcentral lists this ribosomal RNA (442 nucleotides) under uncultured bacterium. RNAcentral's name for it is "partial 16S ribosomal RNA". It matches the Rfam family "Bacterial small subunit ribosomal RNA", at positions 338 to 795 of the family's 1533-position model. The record is from RNAcentral.